UAGUCUGGAGAAGCGUCCU
This 19-nucleotide small nuclear RNA is filed under the name Arabidopsis thaliana (thale cress). Its description in RNAcentral is "snRNA_13026". The record is from RNAcentral. Lineage: Eukaryota; Viridiplantae; Streptophyta; Magnoliopsida; Brassicales; Brassicaceae.